AGAGUUUGAUCCUGGCUCAGGAUGAACGCUAGCGACAGGCUUAACACAUGCAAGUCGAGGGGCAGCAGGGGAGUAGCAAUACUCCCGCUGGCGACCGGCGCACGGGUGAGUAACACGUAUGCAACCUGCCCUUGUCAGGGGGAUAAGCGGGAGAAAUUCCGUCUAAUACCGCAUAAUACCUUAUGGGGACAUCCUCAUGAGGUCAAAGAUUUAUCGGACAAGGAUGGGCAUGCGUCGCAUUAGUUAGUUGGCGGUGUAACGGACCACCAAGACGACGAUGCGUAGGGGUUCUGAGAGGAAGGUCCCCCACACUGGUACUGAGACACGGACCAGACUCCUACGGGAGGCAGCAGUGAGGAAUAUUGGUCAAUGGGCGGGAGCCUGAACCAGCCAAAUCGCGUGAGGGAAGACGGUCCUAAGGAUUGUAAACCUCUUUUGUCAGGGAGCAAGGACUGCCACGAGUGGCAGGGCGAGAGUACCUGAAGAAAAAGCAUCGGCUAACUCCGUGCCAGCAGCCGCGGUAAUACGGAGGAUGCGAGCGUUAUCCGGAUUUAUUGGGUUUAAAGGGUGCGCAGGCGGACCGGAAAGUCAGCGGUAAAAUCGAGGAGCUCAACUCCUUCCAGCCGUUGAAACUGUCGGUCUAGAGUGGGCGAGAAGUAUGCGGAAUGCGUGGUGUAGCGGUGAAAUGCAUAGAUAUCACGCAGAACUCCGAUUGCGAAGGCAGCAUACCGGCGCCCAACUGACGCUCAGGCACGAAAGCGUGGGUAUCGAACAGGAUUAGAUACCCUGGUAGUCCACGCAGUAAACGAUGAAUAAUAAUUGUUCGGCGCGAAGGAGCGCUGGUGGAUAACUGAGGAAAGCGUUAAGUUUUCCUCCUGGGGAGUACGCCGGCAACGGGUGAAAACUCAAAGGAAAUUGACGAGGGGCCCGCACAAGCGGGAGGAACAUGGUGGUUUUAAUUCGGAUGAUACGCGAGGAACCUUACCCGGGCUCAAACGACAGACGGAUACUUUUGAAAGGAGGUAGCUCUUCGGAGCGUCUGUCGAGGUGCUGCAUGGUUGUCGUCAGCUCGUGCCGUGAGGUGUCGGCUUAAGUGCCAUAACGAGCGCAACCCCCAUCUACAGUUGCCAUCGGGUCAGGCUGGGCACUCUGUCGGGACUGCCGGCGCAAGCUGUGAGGAAGGCGGGGAUGACGUCAAAUCAGCACGGCCCUUACGUCCGGGGCGACACACGUGUUACAAUGGCGGGGACAGCGGGAAGCCACCUGGCGACAGGGAGCGGAACCCGAAAUCCUGUCUCAGUUCGGAUUGGAGUCUGCAACCCGACUCCAUGAAGCUGGAUUCGCUAGUAAUCGCGCAUCAGCCACGGCGCGGUGAAUACGUUCCCGGGCCUUGCACACACCGCCCGUCA
This 1409-nucleotide ribosomal RNA is filed under the name uncultured bacterium. RNAcentral's name for it is "16S ribosomal RNA". It matches the Rfam family "Bacterial small subunit ribosomal RNA". The record is from RNAcentral.